GUGGGGAAUCUUAGACAAUGGGCGCAAGCCUGAUCUAGCCAUGCCGCGUGAGCGAUGAAGGCCUUAGGGUUGUAAAGCUCUUUCAGCUGGGAAGAUAAUGACGGUACCAGCAGAAGAAGCCCCGGCUAACUCCGUGCCAGCAGCCGCGGUAAUACGGAGGGGGCUAGCGUUGUUCGGAAUUACUGGGCGUAAAGCGCACGUAGGCGGAUCAGAAAGUCAGAGGUGAAAUCCCGGGGCUCAACCCCGGAACUGCCUUUGAAACUCCCAGUCUUGAGUUCGAGAGAGGUGAGUGGAAUUCCGAGUGUAGAGGUGAAAUUCGUAGAUAUUCGGAGGAACACCAGUGGCGAAGGCGGCUCACUGGCUCGAUACUGACGCUGAGGUGCGAAAGCGUGGGGAGCAAACAGGAUUAGAAACCCUAGUAGUCC
This 425-nucleotide ribosomal RNA is filed under the name uncultured bacterium. Its description in RNAcentral is "bacterial SSU rRNA". It matches the Rfam family "Bacterial small subunit ribosomal RNA", at positions 354 to 796 of the family's 1533-position model. The record is from RNAcentral.